This 772-nucleotide ribosomal RNA is filed under the name Arthrobacter sp. RI52. Its description in RNAcentral is "bacterial SSU rRNA". It matches the Rfam family "Bacterial small subunit ribosomal RNA", at positions 17 to 804 of the family's 1533-position model. Lineage: Bacteria; Bacillati; Actinomycetota; Actinomycetes; Micrococcales; Micrococcaceae. The record is from RNAcentral.
UUAUGGCUCAGGAUGAACGCUGGCGGCGUGCUUAACACAUGCAAGUCGAACGAUGAUCCCAGCUUGCUGGGGGAUUAGUGGCGAACGGGUGAGUAACACGUGAGUAACCUGCCCUUGACUCUGGGAUAAGCCUGGGAAACUGGGUCUAAUACCGGAUAUGACUCCUCAUCGCAUGGUGGGGGGUGGAAAGCUUUUGUGGUUUUGGAUGGACUCGCGGCCUAUCAGCUUGUUGGUGGGGUAAUGGCCUACCAAGGCGACGACGGGUAGCCGGCCUGAGAGGGUGACCGGCCACACUGGGACUGAGACACGGCCCAGACUCCUACGGGAGGCAGCAGUGGGGAAUAUUGCACAAUGGGCGCAAGCCUGAUGCAGCGACGCCGCGUGAGGGAUGACGGCCUUCGGGUUGUAAACCUCUUUCAGUAGGGAAGAAGCGUAAGUGACGGUACCUGCAGAAGAAGCGCCGGCUAACUACGUGCCAGCAGCCGCGGUAAUACGUAGGGCGCAAGCGUUAUCCGGAAUUAUUGGGCGUAAAGAGCUCGUAGGCGGUUUGUCGCGUCUGCUGUGAAAGACCGGGGCUCAACUCCGGUUCUGCAGUGGGUACGGGCAGACUAGAGUGCAGUAGGGGAGACUGGAAUUCCUGGUGUAGCGGUGAAAUGCGCAGAUAUCAGGAGGAACACCGAUGGCGAAGGCAGGUCUCUGGGCUGUAACUGACGCUGAGGAGCGAAAGCAUGGGGAGCGAACAGGAUUAGAUACCCUGGUAGUCCAUGCCGUA